AAGUAGGUCAGCAUCUAGCCUGGCUCAGCAUUUGGCAAUCCACUGGCCAGAUGCUGUCACACAGCUUGGCUUCUUCCUGCCAACAGCUGGGUUAGGCUUCACAAUCACCUGAGUCAGCCCUGUAGGUUCUGCAGCUCUGGAUAGCUGUGACAAAGCUGCUUCAACCUGUGGGGUUUUUCCGCUUGAGUCUUCUGAACCUGGCAUCCACGGAGAUAAACACAUCAAAAUGAGGGUGUGAGAAUCUGGACCAACAUGGACUUGGGACAGGAUUUUGUCUGAGACGUUCACAACCUAAGAGGAAAAAAUAUAUCCAUGGAUUGUUAGAUGAAGAACUUCGGCUCAGAGAGUUUCAGCGUAUUUGUAAAGUUCAGGAUCUUAUCUAAAGUUUUCAAAAUAAGAAUGAUGUCUUCACACUUAAUGAAACAACCCUUCAUGGCUGGUCAAGAGGACUCAGGAGGUCGACUCUCCAGGCCCCUGGCAGUGCAGUAUGAAAUCCUGAGGAUGUUGACUCAAGUUCAUUGUUGUCCUGAAAAUACCACCGAUCAACUCAAGAAAUUCUAUGCCAGGACAGUGCCCCGAACCUGACAGUGGUGCGUCCUUAAACUGCCUCUGCAUACCUUGUAAUCCCUCCUCCUGUUCCUCCCCCAUCCACUGAUUCAAUUUAAGUUCACAGCCCUACACUGCUAGAGUUUAGGUUCACUUUAAGAAGGUUUCAACUGAAUAAUUAAAACUUAGAAGAUAUUCUGUACACAUCCAAAAGAAAGGAAAAUUAAAAAUAAAUGAAAAUUAAAAAGAAGUGCAAGAAGACAGCCUGACAAUGAGACAAACCUAGAUUAGAAAUUACACAUAUUGCUUCACAUCUCUGAGCCUUUUUACCUACUUAUCUACAAUAUAUGGAUAAAGAUUCAUACCUCCCAAGUUAUCAUGGAAAUUAAAUGACAUUAUAUGUAAAGAUUCUGGUGAAUGCUAC
This 970-nucleotide long non-coding RNA is filed under the name Capra hircus (goat). Its description in RNAcentral is "lncRNA (ENSCHIG00000001818.1)". The record is from RNAcentral. Lineage: Eukaryota; Metazoa; Chordata; Mammalia; Artiodactyla; Bovidae.